Molecule: ribosomal RNA, 567 nt
Filed under: Leifsonia sp. wged95
Lineage: Bacteria; Bacillati; Actinomycetota; Actinomycetes; Micrococcales; Microbacteriaceae
Description: bacterial SSU rRNA
Rfam family: Bacterial small subunit ribosomal RNA
Source: RNAcentral
CGCAGCUAACGCAUUAAGUUCCCCGCCUGGGGAGUACGGCCGCAAGGCUAAAACUCAAAGGAAUUGACGGGGGCCCGCACAAGCGGCGGAGCAUGCGGAUUAAUUCGAUGCAACGCGAAGAACCUUACCAAGGCUUGACAUAUACGAGAACGGGCCAGAAAUGGUCAACUCUUUGGACACUCGUAAACAGGUGGUGCAUGGUUGUCGUCAGCUCGUGUCGUGAGAUGUUGGGUUAAGUCCCGCAACGAGCGCAACCCUCGUUCUAUGUUGCCAGCACGUAAUGGUGGGAACUCAUAGGAGACUGCCGGGGUCAACUCGGAGGAAGGUGGGGAUGACGUCAAAUCAUCAUGCCCCUUAUGUCUUGGGCUUCACGCAUGCUACAAUGGCCGGUACAAAGGGCUGCAAUACCGUAAGGUGGAGCGAAUCCCAAAAAGCCGGUCUCAGUUCGGAUUGAGGUCUGCAACUCGACCUCAUGAAGUCGGAGUCGCUAGUAAUCGUGGAUCAGCAACGCCACGGUGAAUACGUUCCCGGGCCUUGUACACACCGCCCGUCAAGUCAUGAAAGUCG